RNAcentral lists this small RNA (467 nucleotides) under Histoplasma ohiense. Its description in RNAcentral is "hypothetical lncRNA". Lineage: Eukaryota; Fungi; Ascomycota; Eurotiomycetes; Onygenales; Ajellomycetaceae. The record is from RNAcentral.
GCAUGUCGACCUAAGAGAACGCAAUUGGUGGCAGAGGCAUGGGAAUGGGCCGCCUUUGUCUCCCCAGCAAAUAAUACGGGAGGAUGCCUUAUCAGCCAUUCAUUGCUGCGCUGUUGGAACAGGUACAGGUGCCUAGCUGGAUUGUUCUGGAAAGGCUCUAUCGAUCUAUUCUCACCUGGUGGCCAGUAGCCUCCAGAAAUAUUUCCAGAGCAACAUACGGCUGCGAUUAGCUACAGUGCCAGGUCACAAUUGUCGCACCUACAAUUGUGAUGAAAUAUGAUCCUUGGAUGCCGUAACGAACGGUACAUCAGUCCAUGUGGGCAGGUCACAUUUCUUCCGUGUGAAAGAGAAAUGAAAAAAAGACUGGAAGAAUCAAAAUUUGUCAUCCUCGGCUCGCAUACCUUUGCAAUGAGCCCUAACUAACCUCUGCAGGAUGAAAAAAUAAGAAUAAAAAUAAAAAAUAAGGC